Mustela lutreola (European mink) is the source of this 16224-nucleotide long non-coding RNA. RefSeq lists it as uncharacterized. Lineage: Eukaryota; Metazoa; Chordata; Mammalia; Carnivora; Mustelidae. The transcript is spliced from 2 exons. The record is from RefSeq and is a predicted model, not a curated record.
UUGGAAGUUUUUUUAAAAAAUUAUUGACAGGGGUGCCUGGGCGGCUCAGUCAUUAAGUGUCUGCCUUGGGCUCAGAUCAUGAUCCCAGGGUCCUGGGAUUGAGCCCCGCAUGAGGCUCCCUGCUCAGCGGGGAGCCUACUUCUCCCUCUCCCACUCUCCCUGUGUGUGUUCCCUCUCUCCCUCUCUCUCAAAUAAAUAAGUAAAAUUUUAAAUAAAUACAUAAAAAUUACUGAUAGUCUAGAAAAGUUUAACUCAGUUUCACACGUUAUUAUUGAUAAUAUAUAAAUAUUAGGAUAAUUGUCACUUUCGGAAAAGCCUCCAUCACAGUUUCUUCCACAAGAUUUUAGGGUCUUUCAUGUUUUCUGGUGCAGUGAUUCAUAUAAAAUAAUUCUGGAUUUGGGGACAUUUCUUACCUGAUUUUGAGUCAGCUAAACAUAAUCUUUGUCAAAAUCUUUGUAUCUUGGGUCAAAUUGGCAAAAAAUUCUCAUCUUUUCUAGUACCAGCUUCCCGUCUCCCAACCCCUUGAGAUGGAAUGAGCAUAGUUAUGUUACUGAAAGAUUCAUGAUUAAAGUCCUUUCUCACAAGUCUGUGACCUUUUCAAGGGGAUUCAUUACAAAAUACCGGAUGUGAAAACAUUUGAAGCAUUCGGAUGAUUUGGCCUGGAAAGAGGAAGGCUAGAGGCAGCGAAUAAAUAACCACCUUUAAGGAUAUGAACCUUUGUGGGCAUUGGAGGCAGCAGGGUGUAUCUGAGCCUGAUUCCAAGACCUGGGGAGAGGCUCCGGUGACUGCCUAGUUAACAGGUUCUGCAAGUCCCUUUGAACAGGUUGGCCUAAAAUGGAUAAGAAGAAUAAUAGAGAAGUGUGUGAGUGAGAACAGCUCCAGCUGCCUCGCUUUGGACCCAAAGGGUGACCCGUGGUCUGGCACCUGCUAUGGGAGCUGGUUUUGCAUCAGUGGGGUGGGGCGGGCUUCAUGGGAGCACCUGACUGGGUCACUUAGUAGAGCAUGUGACCCUUGAUCUCAGGGUCGUGAGUUCAAGCCCCACUUUGGGCCUAGAGAUGAAGGAAGGGAGGGAGGGAAAGAAAGAGAAAUGCAUAAUCUCAGGCCCUACCCACAACUGCUGAUUGGGAAUCUGCAUUUUCACAGAGCUGCAGGUGGUUAUCUGAGAAGCCCUGGACCAGAGACUUGAGCUGGAACUUCCUAUGUGCCUGCCCAGGCUUGGCGGCUGUCUUUUUCCUUGCUGUGCCUUUAGCCUUAGGAACCGGCCUCUCUUCUUGCUUCUGGCAGUCGCCCAUUGUGUGGAUUCAUUCCAUCUCUGUUCCUCUCCCACCUGACUGCAGACUUCUACGGGACUGAGUUCUCUUCUUUGAUUUCUGGCCCUUCACAGUACUGGCACCCAGGAAGUACCAUUUAUGGAAUGCCUACUGCAUGCCAAGAGCUUUGUCUCUCUUAACUCAUUUGGCCCUCGCUUCAGGCCUGUAGGCUGAAACAAAUAUCCCUAUUUCAUGUAUGCAUGUAUGUGUGUGUAUGUAUGUACAUACACUGUCUCCAUGCGCAAGUUGGGGCUCGAACCCACGACCUCAAAAUCAAGAAUCGCAUGCUCUACCGAUUGAGCCAGCCGUAUGCCCCAGAAAGCCCCCAUUUUAUAGAUAAAGAAACUGAGGCCCCGUCACUUUCUUGUCAUAAGUGGCAGAAGCUGGGAACCAACUGAACCCAGGGAUGUCUGAUUCCAAAGCCUUCAGUAAAGGGGAUCAGUAAAUGUUGCUUGAAUCACUUACUGACUUGGUUAAUUGAUUUAAGCAUUCAUUAAUGUUCUUAUUUAUUCAUUGAAAAGACCAUGGGAGAUGAGCAGUGGAAUCUUUUUCUUCUUGGUGAACCCUUUCUAGAACUGGAGCUGUCUGGAAUCAACCUUACAGAGGCGGGGUGGGGGGGAGGAGGGGGGGGGCUGCAGAAGCCCCCAGCCCAUUCUGGGAGUGCGGAGGUGACAUGCCUAUGUCAGCCCCACCCCUUUCAUAAUGUCCUCCGUGACUCAGCAAAGAAACCAUAGGUCUGAAAUCAGAGAUGAAGCAAAAAAAAAAAAAAAAAAAAGACCCAAAAAACAAAAAACACAACCCUCAAAAAUGUUUUCUUUUCCUGGAGGAAUUUCCCUUUCAUGUUGCUCAUUCCUCUGCCAGGGAAUUCAGGAAGCCUUGGGCUUGGGGUCAGCUGUGACCCUCCAGUCUGGUUUUUCUGGGGCUCACCCCCCCUCCUGACUCCUCCCUGGCCCUGGGGGACAGCACCAGGCAUUCUUCCUCAGAGGUCUCCAGUUCUGGGCUGCCAGGGGCCCGUCCAGCCCAGCAUUCCUGAGCUUAUUUUACAUUGUUAAUCCUGAAGCUGGACCCAGAUUGUCUGAGUUCAAAUUCUGCCUCUACCUCUUGUAUUUGUGUGACUUUGACCAGGUCAUGUCACCUUUCCUCUUCAGCGAAGUGGGGAUGAGAGUAUAUUUGAGGGUUAAAAUAAUUAAACUAUGUAAAGCACUUAGACCAUAAUUAAACUAUGUGAAGCACUUAGAGUCAUCACUUUAUAACCGUUCUUGUUGUUCUUACUCAUUACGGAGGAGUUGUUAAUACCUGGAUGAGACCUGGGUGAUCUUGUGCCGAACUUCUCCUUCCAUUUGCCUAGCCUCACCCCAGAAUUUGCAUGGAUUCCCAGUUAUUCAUGCUUUAGAGAGUUUAAGGGGGCAACUGCAAAUGAGUGAAUAAAUUAAUAAAAUUAGAAAGCUCUGUGUUGCUCUCUGAAAAUGAGAUUAUUUUAAUGGGCGAUGAGGCAUGAGUCAGUCAAGUUGAUUUGGGAAUAACCACAUUCCAUCUGGGAGGAGGGUGGCCCUCUGAAAAUUUCCAAUCAUGGCAGUGACAGACCUGUUACCAAAGGCAGUUUACUGCUCUGUUGAUAGAUUCAGUUUGCAGCUCUCCAGACAACAGGGGAAGGAGAGUAAUUCUUGGCUGGAAACUGGCUUGCAGUUCUCAGCCCUGGGUGCAUUUCGGAAUCACUGGGGAACAAACAUACAGAACCUGGGCCCCGCACCUAGAGAUUCUGAUGUCCAGGCCUGGGAGUGGAACGGAGGCACUAGGAUUCUUAAGAAGCUCCCCAGGUAAUGAGGAAUGAAGUCCAACAGUAACCAGAGACAACCUAAUAGUAACAGAGCACGUUAGUAUAAACUCGGGGGUUCAUUUCUCUCCCCUUCGUAACCAUCCCCACAAGGCAGUUUAUAUUAUCCCCGUUUUACAGAUAAGAACGCUGAGGUUUGAAUAAUUUGGCCAAAGUCAUCCAGCAGGGCCAUUGUUUAAUCUAGGUCUGAGUCUGAAAGCUUGAAUGCAUUGUGUCACAUUCCACACUACAGAAGGUCAGCCAGGAAGAAACUUCCCAGAAAUUGACAUUAAGAUUGUUCCCUCUGUUGUAAACUAUAAAAUCGAUACAUAAUAGGUCAGAGCAAAGAUAUGCAAACUGAUUUAAAGAGACACAAAGGCUCCUAGAGCCAGAGAAGGCUCAACCUUCACCUGUGGCCUCUAUUAACAUAUCUAAAUAAAGACUGCCUCAGUGGGGGUGGGAGGGUGCUUGGGCCAUUGGUCUGGCCCUUUGUGCGCUGAGGGAUGGGUCCUGGGCCUGCCGACCCCUGGCAUAAUUGUGAUUUGUGAUCUGGCUUACACUUUUCCCCUGGGCUUCCUUCCUUUCUCUCUGGACCUCUCAAACUGUCAUUUCCUUCCAUGGGUCCUCUUUCUCCACCUGUCCUUUAAAAGAGGGUGUUUUCUGCACUCCCCUCAUAUUCCCCAGACUAUGACUGGGUUGCCUGGUGCUGAGGACUUCAGAGGUGUGUACACCAGGUGUCCAGACUCUAGGCAUCAAGGUUAAGGUUGGGGAGAGGGUAAGGUGUCAUCAGAUAGGAGGGGGAGCUCCCAUCCGAGAUGGCUCGCUUCCUGCCGUGGUCCCUAGAAAUUUCUUUACAUUGUUUUUUUAGCCUCAGUCUGUUGUUUAUCUGAGAAAUGGGAUAUGAAUGCCUAUCGUACAUGAUUGUCAUAAGGAUGAAAACAGACAGUAGGCAUUCCGAGCACUCAGUAAGAACGUUUACUUAUUAUUAUUAUUAUUUUUUACAUUUUAUUUAUUUAUUUGACUGAGAGAGAGACAGAAGAGGGAACACAAGCUGGGGAAGCGGGAGAGGGAGAAGCAGGCUUCCCACUGAGCAGGGAGCCUGAUGUGGGGCUUGAUCCCAGGAUGCCAGGAUCAUGACCAGAGCGGAAGGCACGCUUCAUUCUGCUGUGCUUACAUGGAUGGCUAAGCCCUGGUCUGGGUACUGGGGAUAUGACAGAGCACGCAGCAUGGGGGGUGCUAGAAACGAGGGGAGGGAUUUCAAUUUUAGCUAAGAAGGUCAGGAAAAGCCUCUCUGAAGAGGAGCAGAGACCUGAGGGAAGGAGAAGAGGGGGCUAUGUAGGUAUCUAGGGGAAGAGUAGUUCAGGCAGAGGGAAUAGCCAGGACAGAGGGGAUCAAUAGUCCCAUUUGACAGAUGAGCAAGCCGAGUCUAGGUAGGUUAAGCAAAGUCACAGAAAAACCCAGGUUCUGUAACUCUUGAUUCAAUCAUCCCUCUAUAAAGCCUUUUGCUGGACACUGUGGGUGCCUUGGCUGAGGAGUGACUGGCUCUGUGUUCACCCCGCAGCCCUCUAGUUGGAGCUUGCUUCCCGUGUCAAGGAGAGCGUGGGCUGAUCCACGGCCUUGCCAUUCAGGUUCACUUGGGUGGCUCUGUUUUGCUCUUGUGUGUAUCCGUUCCUGUGGCCUUUAUUGGAGACAGUUAAACUGUAUCUACUCCUCAGGCAGUCUCAGAAAGCACAAUUCUGCAAAGCUGAGGACCAGACCCUGAAAUGUGGUGGUGACUUGGCCUCGGCAAAUUCCCUGUCCCUGGUCAGUAGUCAGAGGGGCCUCUGUGGGCAACUGCCGUACCUCCCUCCAUACCUUCCUUCAGACUUCAGCAGGAAGAUCUGAGGCGACUGUCUUUGGAGGGGUGGCAUCUGAACUGGUCUUGGAGGACACGGAGCAUGGCCAAGAGAGGCACGGAUGAGAAUUUCGGUGGAAGGAAGUGUGUGAGUGGCACAAAAGUGUCGCGUGCUGGACCAUCUAGUGCAUUGGGAGUGUAGGUGCUCAGAGGAUGUGUUUGUUGAGGGAGAGGAGAUAAGGCUGGAGGGAGACCGUAGGGUAGAUCAUGACAGCCUUUUUUUUCAAAUGGCCGACUUAGCGUGCCCAUUUCAGAUAAGCGGUCUGGAUUUUAUCUCUGUAGUCAUAGGGGUUUUAAGAUUUAAAGAAGCAAAGGAAGCAUGUGUGCAUUCCUGAUGUUUUUGAAAGAAUGCCUGGGCAGUAGUGGGGAGCGGGGUUGGAGAGGCUGUGUGGGGGGAGAGAGGGGAUUGCACCAGUCCAAAUGUUAGGUGGGAGCAAGAGGCACUAGAAAAGAAUGAUGUCAGUGUCUUUAGCUUGGAUGACUCGGUGGGUCACAGUUAACUGACACAUAAUACGAAGGAGGAGGGAUAGGUUUUAAGCACCUCGAGUUUGAGCCAGCUGUGUGACAUCUAGGUAGGGGUGUAGACCAGGAGUUCAAGCUGGAGUUGAGGACUGGAGAAGCUUGAAGGCUGAGGCUGAAGGAAGAGAGGGGAGUCUCGGCUGUUUGUGAGAAGAGAACAUAAGGGCUUUGGCUUAAGCCCUGGAAGGUGUUUACAGUUCUUUUCUUUCUUUUUUUUUUUUUUUUAAGAUUUUAUUUAUUUAUUUGACAGACAAAGAUCACAAGUAGGCAGAGCAACAGGCAGAGAGAAAGGAGGAAGCAGGCUCCCUGUCGAGCAGAGAGCCCGAUGCAGGGCUUGAUCCCAGACCCUGGGAUCAUGACCUCAGCCAAAGACAGAGGCUUUAACCCACUGAGCCACCCAGGCGCCCGGUGUUUACAGUUCUUGAGGCUGAUGGAGGAAGAGGAGCUAAGGAGGGAGCUGUGGAGGAGUGUUUUGGUGAAGGCAUCUCUGGGACCGUUGGACAUAGCUCAGCAGCUGAUGGGUGGUGAUGGAGGCCACGUCCCAGGGGGAACCACAGUUGACCUAGUCUGGGCUGUCUGCCCAGAGCCACUCAGAGACCAGGAGUGCUUCUGCUCAACCUGAGUUUGUUUGCGUGGUCUUCCGUAGACAUAUGUCCAGCCUCCCACUUUUGAGAGAAAUCUCCUGAAAGUGGAGAUCCUGACUUCUCCCCCAUUAUUCUCCAGGAAGCUCAGCCUAGGGUUUUGUAUACUGUGGGGCUCAGAACACUAGCGAGGGGGCUGAAUGGCUAAGUGGGAUGUGUGGCUGUGGUGAAUUUGGUCCAUGUCUUCUCCUUGAGUUCCUUUUUAAGAGAAUAUCUUGUUUCAUGGAAUGAGUGUGAUCUGCUCUCUGAAUCUUGAGUUGCUUCAGGCCUGCUUCGCCCAUUGGCCCAUCCAUCCGCCCAUCCAUCCAUCCAUCCGUCUAUCCUGUGUAGACUUUUGCUAAAAGUGGAACACUUUGCACAUGGGGUUGGGAGGGCUCCCCGUACUUGUCAUGCAUUAUCUUACAUUACAACAAGCCUCUGAGGGAGGCAUGACUACCCUGUUUUGCGGAUGAAAAAUCAGAUCAUUUUCCCCAGGUCACACAAGGGAGGGAUACAGUCAGGCGGUCUAACUCAAAAGUCCCUGUGCUCUCAAUUGCGAAUGUGAGGCCUCCUUAGGUAGGAGGUGAUCAUAGAAUUUAUUCUCCAAAUUGGAAUACAUGAAAAAAAUUUUUAUCAAGGGGCAUCUGGCUGGGCUAUGAGUUCGAGCCCCACGUUGGGCACGGAGCCUACUUAAAAAAUAAAUAAAUAAAAAAUUUAAAAAAAUAAAGUCUUAUUGAGAUCUAAUUUUCAUACCAUAGAAUUAAUUCACCUAUAUUGAGUUUACAAUUCUACAGUUUCUUUUGGUGGGUAUUUACAGAGCUGUGCAGUCAUUGCUGUCAUCUCAUUUUAGAACAUUUUCAUCAACCCAAAAAGAAACUCAGUACCCAUUAGCGGUCACUCCCCGUUACCAUCACCACCCCAGUCCCGGGCGACCACUGAUCUAUUUUCUGUCUCUACAGAUUUGCCUAUUCUGAACACUUCGUAUAAAUGGAAGCUUAUGAACUGUGGUCUUUUUGGUUGGCUUCUUUCACUUACCAUUAGGCUUCAGGGUUCAUUCCUGCUGCCAGAAUGCAUCCCGGUUGGCCUUUCUUUGCGUGAAUGACCUUUCUUUGCGUGAAUGACCGAAUGAUAGUCCAUUGUAUGGAUACACCUCUGUCUUCCUUGGGCUUGUUCACAUGUUGGCAAACAUUUGGAUUGCUUCCACUUUGGGGCUCUUAUGGGUAAUAAUAACGCUCUGACAUCUGUACACAGGUUUUAUGUGGAUGUAUUUUUUAAAAAUUUUUCUUGAUUUUUAAAUUUUUCUUAAUUUUUCUUGCAUCUAUGCUCAGGAGAGGAAUUGCGAAGUUAUAUGGUAAUUCUGUGUUUAAUGUUUUGAGGAACUGCUGAACCAUUUUCCAAAGUGGCUGCAACGUUCUGGGUUCCCAACAGCGGUUAGGAGUGCUCCAACUCUCCCACAUCCUCACCAACACUUGUUAUUCCAAACCGGGAGGCUGUUGAUGGUAAAAGGGUCCACCAUUAAUAAUUAUACCAGGAUAACCAGUAGCAAUGGGAACAUCUGAACUCUACCUACUUAGCAAAAAAAAAAAAAAAAAAGAGAGAGAGAGAAGAUUCAAUUCCUGCUUUCAGGGAACUUUUCUGGCCACAUGAUGAGUCAAAGCCCAAAAAACCCCUAUACUUGAGUCAAUUAAAGAAUCAAGUGAAGGUAAAUUAUUAAGAAGGAAAGCACAUUUUAUUUCUCCCAGGAGAUUGUGUUCUCUUUAAUAAGAAAAAAAGAACUGUCUUGUAUUUGUAUUGUUUAGGGCCCCAGGAAUAUCUUGGUACGUCAUAGGGUUUCAGUAAGGAUCUGUGGAAUAAAUGAAUGAAUGAGAAUGAAUAAUACAAACUUUCCUGGAGGGAAUGUAAAAAAAAGAAAAAUAGAAAUGAGUCAUCUGGCCCAGAUUUAUGAGUUUGGAGGAAGUGUGGAUCUUUUCUAAAAAUGGUUUUUUUUUUGCUCAGUGUGGAACAGCACUAAUGACAAUUUUAUUUGUUUAUUUUUACCAAUGACAAUUUUUAAAAAAGAUUUUAUUUAUUUAUCUGACACAGAGACAGCAAGAGAGGGAACACAGACGGGGGAAUGGGAGACGGAGAAACAGGCUCCCCACUGAGCAGGGAGCCCAAUAUGGGGCUUGAAUCCCAGAACCCUGGGAUCAUGACCCUUAGCCUAAGGCAGAUGCUUAAUGACUGAGCCACGCAGGUGCCACUUUGCUAAUGAUAAUUUUAUUUAUUUAUUUAUUAUUAUUAUUAUUUUUUAAAGAUUUUAUUUAUUUAUUUGAGAGAGAAACAGUGAGAGAGAGCAUGAGCAAGGAGAAGGUCAGAGAGCGAAGCAGACUCCUCAUGGAGCUGGGAGCCUGAUUCGGGACUCGAUCCCAGGACUCCGGGAUCAUGACCUGAGCCGAAGGCAGUCGUCCAACCAACUGAGCCACCCAGGCGUCCCGCUAAUGAUAAUUUUAAAAGGAAAAAGUAAAUUACCAACAAUUAGAGGAUUCUUUUUUUUUUUUUUAAAGAUUUUAUUUAUUUAUAUGACAGACACAGAUCACAUGUAGGCAGAGAGGCAGGCAGAGAGAGAGGGAGAAGCAGGCUCCCCGCUGAGCAGAGAGCCCGAUGCGGGGCUCGAUCCCAGGACCCUGGGAUCAUGACCUGAGCCGAAGGCAGAGGCUUUAACCCACUGAGCCACCCAGGCGCCCCCAAUUAGAGGAUUCUUUAACCGGAUUUUGCGAGUGUAGAUGGCUAAUGGAAGGUGGGAGAAAGACCUUACAAGCCUACAAACUGGGAGUCUGGAAGCAGAGUGCAAAGCUUUAUGCAGAACACCUCUACAGCAAGCUAACCAAAUUUGGGAAUGAGAGGAUGUAGGACCUACCCCCGAGAGGGUCCAGUGUUUUAUUCAUAGGAAACAAUGAGAAUAAUUUAAAAGGACCCUUAACUGGCUGUGUGCCCUCAGGGAGGUCAGCUCCCAUCUCUGACCGUCAUUGAUCCUUCCAGAUCUAAAUUUUCCUGAUUAUUCAGCCCUAUAGCCCUGGAAGCUUCUGUGGGAUUGGUGGCCCAGAAGGUAGGCCUUGAAGGAAAGAGCUCGAUUUGGAGAAAGGGGUAAGAUGCCAGUGGCGGGUGAUAAGGCCUUGAGGUGGACUGGAGUGCUCUGUCUGAGAUAAAUUGGAGAGGGUGGUUGGGGCCUCUCGAAGGAGAACUUUAAAAGCCAGGCUGGUUGACUUUUAAAUUUGACCUGAUAAGCAGGUCCUUGGACUGAAGAUGAAAGGAGUGUCUAUGAGAGAUUAAUCUGAUGGCUCUGGGCCAUCGAUCUGGAUCUAUCUGGAAGCAGUGUAAAGACCAAGAGGCUCUCAGGGAGGCCUUUGCAACAGUACUAGAAGCCCAGCCCUUCCAAAGAGGGUUUGAAACUCCUACCAGUCUCACUGUAUACAUGGCUUCUCUAGAGUUCAGUUUUCCUUAACCAUAAGGAAAUUAUUUUUAUAUGACAACAAUUAUUCUCCACUGGAAUCCUAAAUGUAUAUAUAAAUUUCUAAGGCAGAAUGUUAGACGUCAAAUACAUUUCAGGUUUGCCGGGGACAAUUUUGAAUUAUACUACCAGAUUCGUCAGAGGGAGAUGCAUUCUCUGUUCUCUGCUGUAAAGGGUUUACUUGGUGGCAGGUUUUGGGAAAUUUGCUAAAAGUCAACUGGAAGGAUGGGAAGGGUGGGAUCUUAGUUUCAGGAGUGGUUUCACUUUGGCCCAGGUAAAGGAUUAGAUGUUGGAAACCAAAGAAAGAAAUCCAAGAUGGUGCCAGAGUUUAAAAUCCGAGGACUCAGAAGAAAGAUGGUGUGCUAUUCAUAAAAAUGUACAAUUUGAGGGGCGCCUGGGUGGCUCAGCCAAUGGAGUUUCCAGCUCAUGAUUUCAGCUCCUGUCCUGAUCAUAGGGUCCUGGGAUGGAGCCCGAACCCCACCUGGGGCUUUGUGCUUGUGGGGGAAUCUGCUUGAAGAGUCUCUCCUUCUGCCCCUUCCCACUCAGUAUCCUGCACAAGCUUUCUCUCUCUCUCUCUUUAAAUAAUAAAAUAAAUAAAUAAUUUUAAAAUGUACCAUUUGAGAGAAAGGAGGGAAGAUGAUGGUUUACCAUGAGAACCUAGGGAACAGAUGGCCUUGCUAGCCCCAGGAAAGGACUGGGCAGAUUGGACAUACAGGAGGAACUGGCACUUCUGGGUCUUUCUCAGCCUUUGCCCUUGAAGCUCUCCAUUAGCCUGGAUGUUUGGCAUUUUGCCUGCUUUACUAUUAAUGUAUUACUAUGAGACAGGAUGUUUACUACAGGGUUUUUGUAGAUGUCCUAUAUCAGACUAAGGAAGUUCUCAUCUAUUCCUGCUUUGCCAAGAGUUCUUUCUUUGCUUGCUGUGAGCGGGUGUUGAAUUUUAUCAAAUGCUUUUUUUGGUAUUUGUUGAUGUGAUUAUAUGGGUUUCUUCACCCUUUAAUCUUUUUGUGUGAUAAAUUGUAUAGAUUUUAAAAAAUAAACUAUCCAAGCAUUUUUGACAUAAAGUCAACAUAAUCAUAACAUAGUAUCCUUUUAUAUAUUGCUGGACUCAGUUUGCUGAUAUCUUUAUGAAUGUAAUUUUCUUUUCUCAUGCUGUUUUUGUCUGGUUUUGGAAUCCAAGUGACACUAAAAAUACGUUGAGAAGGGAACCCUCUUUUUAUAUUUUCUAAAAGACUUUAGGUAAUAUUGAAAUUGCUUCUUUCUUGAAUUUUUGAUGGAACUCUUUGCUUGGUUGCUAUUGAAGUUUAUCCCAUCAUGUGGGUUAUAGUAGAGAAAGGAACUUUUAUAUGAGGAGUUAUAUUAAACAAUAAGGAACAUCUGUUACCCCAUACAUCACAAAAAGUCCAGAAGUAGGUGUCCCAGAAUUGGUUAAUUCAGCAGUUCAACAACAUUAUCGGGGAGAGUUUAUUCUGAUUUUGUAGCUGUGUCAUUGUCAGGUGUCAGCUUCUUCUCUUAUUGCAAGAUGGCUGCAGUUGCUCCACGCAUUGCAACACAGUGGUUAAGAGGAUGGGUUUUGUAGCUAACACUGGUUCCAAAUCACUAUGACACUAGGCAAUGCUUAACCUCUCUGGAAAAUGGGAUAAUAAUGGUAUUUUACCUCAAAAUUUACUGUUGUAUAGAUUAAAUGAAUUAGGAUUUGGUUUUGUUUCUUUUUUUUUUUUUUUUUUUAAGAUUUUAUUUAUUUACUUGACAGAGACACAGGAGAGAGGGGAUACAAGCAGGGGGAGUGGGAGUGGGAAAAGCAGGCUUCCUGCUGAGCAGAGAGCCUGAUUCGGGGCUUGAUCCCAGGACCCUGGGCAUGACCUGAGCUUAAGGCAGUCACUUAACGACUGAGCCAUCCAGGUGCCCCUGUUUUUUAACUCUUAAAAUAGUGUUUUGCAUAUGGUAAGCAUACAAUAAAUAUUAAUAUAUCUUACUCCAUUCUCACACGGGCAGAAAUGAAUUUUUUUCCUCUUGUACCCCAUUUAUUGAAGCCCCUCAGCAAACUGACUUCACAUUUAUUGGCUAGAAUUUGGCAGGUGCCCAUUCCUAAGCCAGCUGUGGGAUUAUCAUGAUUUGGUUUGGAGUAAUUUAGAUUUAACCUUUGAGAUGAAUGUCUAGCCUCCCCUGAAACACACGACAACCUGACUCUUCAUUGAAAUCUGGAUUGUUGGGGCACCUGGGUGGCUCAGUUGGUUGAGCAUCUGCCUUUGGCUCAGGUCAUGAUCCUGGUGUCCAGGGAUCGAGUUCCACAUCGGGCUCCCUGCUCAGCAGGGAGUCUGCUUCUCCCUCUGACCCUUACCCCUCUCAUGCUCUCUCUCUUUCUCUCUCUCUCUCUCUCUCUCUUGCUCUCUCCAAUAAAUAAAUAAAUUUUUUUUUUUAAAGUCUGGAUUGUUUGCAAGGAAGAGGUUGGAAGGAUGAUGGUGGGGACGUUUGGGUCAUAAGGAGGGGCAGAAUCGGAGUCCCCAUUCCUGUGGGCUCUCCACAAGAUUCCUUGGAAUUACCCUUUCAUUUCACCUAUAGCACUUCAGUUUACUUAAUGCUUUUCUAAGUUUAUUUAAGUAAUCUCUUCCCUUGAUGUGGGGCUCGAACCCAGGACACCGAGACUGAGUCACACAUUGUUCUGACUGAGCCAGCCAGGUGCCUUGCGUUAUUGCUUUUUUUAUUUUUUAAAGACUGUAUUUAUUUAUUUGACACACAGAAAUCACAAGUAGGCAGAGCAGCAGGCAGAGAGAGAGGGGGAAGCAGGCUCCCUGCUGAGCAGAGAGCCCGAUGAGGGGCUCUAUCCCAGAACCCUGGGAUCAUGAUCCAAGCCGAAAGCAGAGGCUUCAACCCACUGAGCCACCCAGGCGCCCCUGCCUUAUUGGCUUUUUAACUAGUGUGUGAUCUCCGCUAGUCUCAGAAUCCCCUUCUAAGCAGUGUGCUUUGUCAUUAUCCAUCUUUCGUAGUCGGGAAACAGGCUUCUGGAGCUGGAGGUGUGCUUGCCUGUGUGUGUGAGUGUGUGUGUGUGUGUGUGUGUGUGUGUCUGUAUGUCUCUCUCUCUCUCUCUCUCUCUCUCGUUGGGACAGAGCCAGGUCCUGGGACUCAAGUGCAGGUCUUGGGAUUCAAAAGUUCUCCCCUUUCAUUGCUCUUCUGUAAAUUACCAACUGCCUGUCAUGGACCUGCUAUUAAGAUUAUUUAUUUAUUUAUUUUGAGAGAGAGAGAGAUGAAAGAGAACAGGAACACGAAUCAGGGGAGGGGAGGGGGGCGCAGAGGAAGAAGCAGACUCCCCCCUGAGCAGGGAGCCCCAUGGGGGACUAGAUCCCAGGACUCUGGGAUCAUGAACUAAGCUGAAGGCAGAUGCCCAACUGACUGAGCCACCCAGCCUCCCUCCUACUACCUUAAAAUGAGCACACAACCUUAAAAAUAUUUAUUCAGGCUUAGAACUCCCGCUCCAGCUCCUGACUGGGCUGGAAUCCCAGCUCUGCCAAUGUGAUACAUGCAGGGUUGGGGGUGGGGUCCAUCCUGCUGCUCCCCUCUGCUCUCUCACCACUACAGGGUGCACCCCUGCUUCCAAGUGCCUGUGCUGUGGCUUUGCCUGACAGCUUGUUCUGUCUGUCCAAGUCCACUGUGCCCUCCCACAGGAAGUAAGUGUAGUUAAUUAAUUGGAGGCUCUUCCCUCCCUCCCCAGCAGCCCUCAACCUCUGCCUGUUGGGAAUCCGUGGACACACACAUCCCGGCUCCCUCGCCUUUCCCCUUUGGUUGCAGUGGCUUCCAGGCAAGAGCUUUUCCUUAUCUCCAGCACGAAUGAGCUUAAAUUUCUCACAUGGCCCACAUUGGGUCAGUGGGAGCUUACCCAAUCCCACACUCUUUACUGCAUUCCUCCCCUUUCCUGGGUCAUUUCCCCACUCCCUUUUGGGUGCUUCCUGGGACCAUCUCUCAGGGAAAUGACUUCCCUGGAGUCCUUGGCUCAGACUAUGCUUCCAGAGAGCCCAAACCAAGGCAGCCAUUUGCUGGUUGUGUUGACAAUAUCUAACUUCUUUGUGUUUCUCUGUUCACAUCCAUCAUAUGAGGAUACUUAACAGCCCCUGUACCUCAUAGAACAAAUGUGGUAAAGCUCUCAGUGCCUGACUAAGAGAAAGUGCAUAACAAUUAUUAUUAUUAUUAUUACCAUUACUGUUAUUACUACCUAACUGCCUUGUGCUUUGGUACAUGCUACAGUAUGCGGGUACCGCAUAGUUGAGACCCACUACUCCUUGCCUCUCCCUUCUUACACCCCACUUACUCUCUGAACUUCUGCAGCGCCCCCUCUUCAUCACAGGCUGUCUCCUUCCAAUCAGGUGUCCAGGACCACCCAUUCCCACCACUCUCAAUGCAGUCCAUCCUUCCCAUCACUUCUGGUGGGUGUUCCAAAUACCCAGGUAAAACUCUCCUGUCAGAAUGACAUCUCAGGAUUUCUCCAUGAUGUAGGAGCAUCUUAGGGGUCCCCUUUAGACUGGAAACUCUUUAAACUGGAGGCUUCUCAUUUCUGACUCAUGUCCAGAAUAUUCUAGGACAUCUUGGGGCGCCUGGGUGGUUCAGUUGGUUGUGUCUGCCUUUGGCUCAGGUUAGUAUCUCCAGGUCCUGGGAUGGAGCCCAGGACUGGGUGGGACUCCCUGCUCAGUGGGGAGCCUGCUUCUUCCUCUUCUUCUUUCCUCUCCCCCAAUUUGUGUGCACAGUCUCUCUCUCUCAAAUAAAUAAAUAAGUAAAAUCUUAAAAACAGAAACCAAAAACAAAAAACGAACAAAUAUUCUAGGACAUCUCAAAGCCUUCCUGAGGUCUGGGGCAGGGAAGACACUCAAUAAAUUGUUGUUGUGGGUGUUGAUCACAGCUACUGAGCACUUACUAUGGGCCUGGUGCUGUUGGUAUUUUUUCCCAUGUUAAUUUUUGCCACCACCCUACGAGGUAAGUGUUAGUUUUUCCAGCCUGGAGAUGAGGAGCCUAGCACAGAGAAGUUAAGUAACCUGCCCAAGAUCACAGCUGGCAAAUGGCAGAGCCCGGCAUCAGCCUAACUCUAGAGCUCCCUUAGUCAUGAUGCUAAAACCGGGGCCUGGGAUGAAGCAUGCUGGCUUCUUUACUCCCCAUCUGAGAGCCCAGGGACAGGUCUCGUUUUGCCAGGUGUUCUGCUGGAGCAGGUCACUCAUCUACCCUGGAGGCCCACAUGCUCAUCCCACCCCUAGCUGUUGAACAGGAAUCUCAGAGACGGUAGUAGGACAGGAAAGCUUCAUUUACUCAGAAUCCAGAGGGCCAGGAGGAGGGAGAAAAAGCAAAUAUGUACAUAUAUAGCCUGUGUUCUAAUUUUAUGAUAAGGAGAGACUAAACAGGUUCAGGCUAGUACCUGAGGUUUCUUUUCACAAGCAAUUUAUGUGCUAGAGAUUGCAAAUGGCUCCCCGCCCCUCUGAUCCAAUCCCUACAGCUUUGUGUGUGCCUGGAAAACAAAAGGAAUGUACAGCAGCGCCCAUGACCAACCACAGAGCGAAAAGGGGGAGCUAAGCAGUACCUCCCUUCUUUGGGUGGGACCCAUGCUGUCCCCACGCCCAGCCCCACCCCUCCCCAACAGCUCCCUUACCACCACCAAAAUGCCAUUUAUCCCGUGGCUCAGGCUGGUAUUUUCUUACAACUAGUUUUUUUCAUUCAUUCAUUCAUUCAUUCAUUCAUUCCGCAAAGUUCUUUUGGACACUUACUAUGACCCGGCACCAUUCUUGGUGGGAUGGGGAAGGAACAAAGUAUAAACAGAUACAGGAUGUUAGCGACACAUGUAGCGUCUGUUCCAGAAAUAGCCGAGCGGGUGAGAGAAUAGUGGGAAAUGGCGUGGGAGCAGAUGGCGCAGGUCUAGUGCGCAUCACAAGGACGUUAGCGGUCACCGGGAGUGGACUGAAGAGCUGCCUGAGUGCUGCUGUAUUGAGAUGAGACCGGAGGAGGCCAGGGUGGACCAGGGAUACCCACUGGGAAGCUAUCUCAGCUGUGAGCCAGGUGAUCCAACUAUGCCAAGGUGGUGGCAGGUGAAUAGAGGAAAGGGGAGGACUGGAGAUGUGUUUGGGGCAUAGAAUCAACCAGAAAUGGGUAACAGGGUGGAUGUGGGAGACCGCCAAGGAGAAGGAAGGAUUGAAUUUGGACCAGGGAAGUAAGUAGCAAAGGCAGAGGAAGGAAAAGGGUGGAUUCUGGAGAUAUUUCAAAAGUAGAGCAUCUCUGCUCUGCUGAUGGAUGGAUGUGAGAUUUGAAAGAGGAGUCAGGAAUGACACCAAGGGUGUUGGCUCUGUUUUGGAAGGAUGGAGUUGCCUUCUGGUGAUGUGAGGAAGCCUGUGGGAGAAACAGGUUUGGAACAGGAGAAAGAUGAGGAUCUCAGUUUUGGAGAAGUUGAAUUUAAAGGUGCCUAUUAGGGGAGCCUGGGUGGCUCAGUCGGUUAAGUGUCUGCUUUUGGCUCAGGUCAUGAUCCCAGUGUCCUGGGGUAGAGCCUCGAGUCUGGCUUCCUGCUCAGUGGCGAGUCUGCUUCUCCCUCUGCCCCCCUCCACAUUCUCUCUCUCUCU